This 65-nucleotide transfer RNA is filed under the name Proechimys guyannensis (Guyenne spiny-rat). RNAcentral describes it as "tRNA-Lys". Lineage: Eukaryota; Metazoa; Chordata; Mammalia; Rodentia; Echimyidae. The record is from RNAcentral.
CACUAUGAAGCUAAGUAGCAUUAACCUUUUAAGUUAAAGACUGAGAAACUAAUUCUCCAUAGUGA